CAUAGGUCUCGUUGGUGACCAGCGGAGGGUCAUUACCGAGUUUACAACUCCCAAACCCAAUGUGAACGUUACCAAACUGUUGCCUCGGCGGGAUCUCUGCCCCGGGUGCGUCGCAGCCCCGGACCAAGGCGCCCGCCGGAGGACCAACCAAAACUCUUAUUGUAUACCCCCUCGCGGGUUUUUUACUAUCUGAGCCAUCUCGGCGCCCCUCGUGGGCGUUUCGAAAAUGAAUCAAAACUUUCAACAACGGAUCUCUUGGUUCUGGCAUCGAUGAAGAACGCAGCGAAAUGCGAUAAGUAAUGUGAAUUGCAGAAUUCAGUGAAUCAUCGAAUCUUUGAACGCACAUUGCGCCCGCCAGUAUUCUGGCGGGCAUGCCUGUCCGAGCGUCAUUUCAACCCUCGAACCCCUCCGGGGGGUCGGCGUUGGGGAUCGGCCCUUUACGGGGCCGGCCCCGAAAUACAGUGGCGGUCUCGCCGCAGCCUCUCCUGCGCAGUAGUUUGCACACUCGCAUCGGGAGCGCGGCGCGUCCACAGCCGUUAAACACCCCAAACUUCUGAAAUGUUGACCUCGGAUCAGGUAGGAAUACCCGCUGAACUUAAGCAUAUCAAUAAGCGGAGGA
RNAcentral lists this ribosomal RNA (619 nucleotides) under Trichoderma virens. RNAcentral describes it as "eukaryotic LSU rRNA". The stretch from base 236 to 389 matches the Rfam family "5.8S ribosomal RNA". The record is from RNAcentral. Lineage: Eukaryota; Fungi; Ascomycota; Sordariomycetes; Hypocreales; Hypocreaceae.